AGAUUGAACGCUGGCGGCAUGCUUUACACAUGCAAGUCGAACGGUAACAGGCCGCAAGGUGCUGACGAGUGGCGAACGGGUGAGUAAUGUAUCGGAACGUGCCCAGUCGUGGGGGAUAACGCAGCGAAAGCUGCGCUAAUACCGCAUACGAUCUAUGGAUGAAAGCGGGGGACCGUAAGGCCUCGCGCGAUUGGAGCGGCCGAUAUCAGAUUAGGUAGUUGGUGGGUAAAGGCGUCACCAAGCCAACGAUCUGUAGCUGGUCUGAGAGGACGACCAGCCACACUGGGACUGAGACACGGCCCAGACUCCUACGGGAGGCAGCAGUGGGAAUUUUGGACAAUGGGCGCAAGCCUGAUCCAGCAAUGCCGCGUGCAGGAAGAAGGCCUUCGGUGUAAACUGCUUUGUACGAACGAACGGUCCGUAGUUAAUACCGUGGGCUAAUGACGGUACGUAAGAAUAAGCACCGCUAACGUACGUA
This 478-nucleotide ribosomal RNA is filed under the name uncultured soil bacterium. Its description in RNAcentral is "bacterial SSU rRNA". It matches the Rfam family "Bacterial small subunit ribosomal RNA", at positions 26 to 507 of the family's 1533-position model. The record is from RNAcentral.